CGUGUGUGAAGGGGGCGUGGCCAUGGUACGGAAAGUGUAAAUAUUUUACCAAUAGCGGAAAGUAAAGGCUUUCCUAGUUGGGACAGCAUAUAGGGAAACGUUAAGGAUUAUAGGCACCGGAGAGGUAACCCGGCUUGAGGGGUUGGUUAAAGGGAAAGGCGAGACUUAGGGCGAGACCGAGCGGGGCUAAUUGAGGCGACCCGGGGAGGGGCGGGACCGCGGACUGGAUUUCGACUUCCAAAUUCCCACGAGGUAUAGGAGUCUGAGGGUUGCACAGGACCUUAUGCAUUGUUUGACUCCUCCAGAGCCUUUAGAGAAACUUCUAUCAGGCCCGCCUGCUAGGCACUAGUCGGGGAGAUAAUGUAGCCAGGGAGAUGUGGCGGACAGAAAGGGCAGAGAGGCUCUCUGAGGAGCGGAUGGAGGAUCGUGGGCCGCUUUACUGAGAAGGAAGAGACCCUGCGAGAAGGAGUAGUGUCGACUUGGUCCCGUCAGCCGGACCCCACCUGGACGGCUGGGGCCACUUGUGGUCGCCGGGAGGAGCAUGGAGGUGAUGUGCUGUGACACGAGUGGUGGAAUGCUUCACUGGAGAAGGGGAUGUGUCCUGUGCUGUCCCUGUGCUCGCCACCCACACUCCCCUCCCAGAGGAGGCACGGUGCCCAGCCUGCAAACUCACCCCAGUCACCCAGCCAGCGGAGAAUGUCAUACAGGUGCUUCUCCUUCAUCAUAGCAUCUUUGGAGAAGGAGGCAAUUUUUUCCAGCAAGAUGAAUCUCUUCUUGCCCUUUGGAUCUCUCUGCUGAGAUUUGGCAUUUUCUUUUAAAUCAUAUCCUAAUUCUUCCUGGAAGCGGUUGAUGACACAAUUGACAUUGUCCAAAAUGUCUGAGAGCUGGGUAGAAAUAUCCUAUAGAGAAGCAGCAG
RNAcentral lists this long non-coding RNA (916 nucleotides) under Homo sapiens (human). RNAcentral's name for it is "HSALNT0188743". Lineage: Eukaryota; Metazoa; Chordata; Mammalia; Primates; Hominidae. The record is from RNAcentral.